GCUUUGAAGUGUGGACGCCAGUCUGCAUGGAGCCGACCUUGAAAUACCACCCUUUAAUGUUUGAUGUUCUAACGUGGACCCGUGAUCCGGGUUGCGGACAGUGUCUGGUGGGUAGUUUGACUGGGGCGGUCUCCUCCUAAAGAGUAACGGAGGAGCACGAAGGUUGGCUAAUCCUGGUCGGACAUCAGGAGGUUAGUGCAAUGGCAUAAGCCAGCUUGACUGCGAGCGUGACGGCGCGAGCAGGUGCGAAAGCAGGUCAUAGUGAUCCGGUGGUUCUGAAUGGAAGGGCCAUCGCUCAACGGAUAAAAGGUACUCCGGGGAUAACAGGCUGAUACCGCCCAAGAGUUCAUAUCGACGGCGGUGUUUGGCACCUCGAUGUCGGCUCAUCACAUCCUGGGGCUGAAGUAGGUCCCAAGGGUAUGGCUGUUCGCCAUUUAAAGUGGUACGCGAGCUGGGUUUAGAACGUCGUGAGACAGUUCGGUCCCUAUCUGCCGUGGGCGCUGGAGAACUGAGGGGGGCUGCUCCUAGUACGAGAGGACCGGAGUGGACGCAUCACUGGUGUUCGGGUUGUCAUGCCAAUGGCACUGCCCGGUAGCUAAAUGCGGAAGAGAUAAGUGCUGAAAGCAUCUAAGCACGAAACUUGCCCCGA
Molecule: ribosomal RNA, 649 nt
Filed under: Salmonella enterica
Lineage: Bacteria; Pseudomonadati; Pseudomonadota; Gammaproteobacteria; Enterobacterales; Enterobacteriaceae
Also listed under: 6 other names
Description: partial 23S ribosomal RNA
Rfam family: Bacterial large subunit ribosomal RNA
Source: RNAcentral